CAUGACUUGAGGGAGUCUCGUAAAUUCAAGGACUUUGUUUCGAGUUGUAUGCUGUUCGUAUUGAAAAAGCAAUCUGGGUGGCCCUCAGAUACUGACAGCUUCAGCUGCAGACUCCUGCUAUGCCGAUCCCCAGGACUUGGAGAAGUGGCAGAUGUUCUUCAGUGCACAGUGUGCAUGUUCGUACAUAUCCAACCCUACAAUCUGCUCGGUGCAAUUACAAGAUGGAUUAACGGUUCUUUCAAGCGUCUUCAUCAUCACCUUCCAUGCCUUGGAGGAAUCUGAAAAUGCUGUGUUCCUGGAUGAGAAUCACAUCCAAUUACUGCUUAAUAAAUGAACGGGAGACUUGCAGCACAAUUUAGGUAGAUUUAAUCUGCUGCGAAUGAACUCACUGUGUAGAUUUUAAGAUUAUUUUCUUCAUCUGUAUAAUGUAGAUCAUUUACAUCCUGGAAAA
Long non-coding RNA from Girardinichthys multiradiatus, 451 nucleotides. RefSeq lists it as uncharacterized. The record is from RefSeq and is a predicted model, not a curated record. The transcript has 3 exons. Lineage: Eukaryota; Metazoa; Chordata; Actinopteri; Cyprinodontiformes; Goodeidae.